This is a long non-coding RNA of Panicum virgatum (switchgrass), 1245 nucleotides long. RefSeq lists it as uncharacterized. NCBI's taxonomy places the organism in Eukaryota, Viridiplantae, Streptophyta, Magnoliopsida, Poales, Poaceae. The record is from RefSeq and is a predicted model, not a curated record. The transcript has 2 exons.
GCUUUGCGAAGAACAUGGCCAUUAGGAGUUGUGCUUACAUUUUGACUGUGCAUGUUUGCUUAGCUUGCAGCUGGGAGGCGCAUGUGGUGGUGAGAUAUUACAGCCAAUUGCGUGUUAAAAAUCUGGUGAAUCGAAUGGCAUUCAAUUCGAUCUCGAUUACAGCUAUCUUUUUUUGUUUAUGUUCUAUUGGUCAGGUUUUUCAUUUUUGGAUAUUACAGCCACAUUGCUGCUCAUUUCACUUGUCUGUUGCAGUAUCUAGAGUGUGGAUGUGGUGUGUGACCUCUGCUUAAAACUGACUUCGAAAUGAUAGAUAUUAGUGGAGUGCAAGGGCCUGCUAGGCUUGGUAUAUUGUCCCAAAUUUGUAUCUAGUAUACUUUUGACCACUUGUAUGUAUCUGCUUUCUUUUGUCUUAUUCGUAAAACUUCUAAGAUGAUUUGUUGUUCCAUUUUUGUGUACACUUGUGUGCCAUUCCAGUUAAUGCAGUUGAAUUUGUUUUUCCUUUUAUUUCGGGUUCUUCAUGCCGCUCCAUUCUUCAUUUGGUCUCAUAGUGUGAAUGGCAUACUUGAAAGUAGUUGUAUGUGUUUUCUUUUAUUUCGGUUUCUUUAAGCCGCUUCAUUCUUCAUUUAGUGUCAUAGUGUAAAUGACAGUUGUAUUUGUUUUGUUUUAUUUUAUUUCGGUUUCUUUAAGCCACUUCAUUUAGUGUCAUAGUGUAAAUGGCAUAUUGGGCAAUAGUUGUGUUGUGUUUUCUGAACCCAAUGGCAUAAUUAUUUUUUGUUCAGCCCAAGUGGUAAAAUAUUCUUUCUAGUUUAUAUAAUUCUAAAGAUAAUGCAUGUGCCCCUUCAUCACUGUGUGUCCUUCGUGUGGCCCCUUUGCCUUGUGUUUCUACUUUCACGAUUCUUUUAGUUAGAAGGGUUAGUUUAUUCCCUCAAGUUCUAAUUAUAUAUGCGUCCCAGGGGAGCAAAAAAAUCACUCUACCUCCAGUGCAAGGGAUUAGGGUCCAUCUUUUGCAAGCAAGGUUCAUCAAUUAUGCUCAGAAUCUUUAUGGACUGCCAUUACAGAUUAGAGUUGCUCUAGAUAUAAUCAUGUUUGAACAUCCUCAACAUUGAUCUCCUUUGUUAUUGUUGUGGUCUAUCAUAGGUAACUUUCUUCUACUUGGUGUAAAGAUCGAUCUAACAGUCUAGGAGUCUGAUUCAACAUCUUAUACAUGUACUUAAUAUCUCAAUUUCCUUUCAGGAAAGUAGAGCC